CAAAUUAAAGCUUUAAAUAAGUAUUUUAUUUACAUUAAGAUGAUAAUUGUGUAAUUCAAUUUAAUUUGA
Molecule: transfer RNA, 69 nt
Filed under: Leiodidae sp. BMNH 1274324
Lineage: Eukaryota; Metazoa; Arthropoda; Insecta; Coleoptera; Leiodidae
Description: tRNA-Val
Source: RNAcentral